RNAcentral lists this ribosomal RNA (200 nucleotides) under uncultured Eubacterium sp. RNAcentral's name for it is "partial 16S ribosomal RNA". It matches the Rfam family "Bacterial small subunit ribosomal RNA", at positions 651 to 849 of the family's 1533-position model. The record is from RNAcentral. Lineage: Bacteria; Bacillati; Bacillota; Clostridia; Eubacteriales; Eubacteriaceae.
GGAGAGGAAAGUGGAAUUCCUGGUGUAGAGGUGAAAUGCGUAGAUAUCAGGAGGAACACCAGUGGCGAAGGCGGCUUUCUGGUCCGAUACUGACGCUGAGGCGCGAAAGCGUGGGGAGCAAACAGGAUUAGAUACCCUGGUAGUCCACGCCGUAAACGAUGGGCACUAGGUGUUGGAGGUAUUGACCCCUUCUGUGCCGA